Molecule: transfer RNA, 75 nt
Filed under: synthetic construct
Description: vtRNA3
Rfam family: tRNA
About the family: Transfer RNA (tRNA) molecules are approximately 80 nucleotides in length.
Source: RNAcentral
GUCGGGGUAGCUCAAAUGGUAGAGUGGCAGGCCAACAUAGCCAGCAGAUCUCGGUUCAAACCCGAGCCCUGACCA